This 253-nucleotide ribosomal RNA is filed under the name uncultured bacterium. RNAcentral's name for it is "partial 16S ribosomal RNA". It matches the Rfam family "Bacterial small subunit ribosomal RNA", at positions 524 to 776 of the family's 1533-position model. The record is from RNAcentral.
UACGGAGGGGGCCAGCGUUGUUCGGAUUCAUUGGGCGUAAAGGGUGCGUAGGUGGCGUGGUAAGUCGGGUGUGAAAUUUCGGAGCUUAACUCCGAAACUGCAUUCGAUACUGCCGUGCUUGAGGACUGGAGAGGAGACUGGAAUUUACGGUGUAGCAGUGAAAUGCGUAGAGAUCGUAAGGAAGACCAGUGGCGAAGGCGGGUCUCUGGACAGUUCCUGACACUGAGGCACGAAGGCCAGGGGAGCAAACGGG